AUUUUUGAUAAUAUUUCUAUGUGGAUAAAUUUUUAGUUAAUUAAGCUAAUUUUAAGCAUAGCUAGUCAUAAAGGCCCAAGUUUCUAGCCCAUUCCUUAAGUCCAAUACCCAAUAACCAUUAAGCUAACCCUAGGGACCCUUCUAGACUCUUCUUUGGAAUAAAAAAUAAAUGAAGAGACCCUAAGGACCUAAGAGCAAUUAACACAAAAAUACACAUUUAGACCUAGACCUAUAUAAUAGGGGUAACACCUAUCAGCUAAGGGGGAGGAGAGCGCCUAAAAGAUCUAGAAAAAGAAAAGGCGCUUGAGUAAAUAAGUCAGCGACAGAGAACCAAAACGACCCCCACCCCCUGUACAGAAGCUUCACCUUUUUCACCUAGCGAGAACCAGCUUCAGCCGCCGGCGAUUCAGCCCCAAACUCGCCGGAGAAACAGCCAUCAACGGCGUUCCAAUAGCCCUCCACCGUUCUGCUUCUUCAACCUUCCAAUUACCCCUCCUCUGAAAAAACACAGUAGAAUACACAACGACCACCCUCAUCUCUCAUCUUUGUCACUCUCUCAACAAUAUAACACACAAACAUAAUAAGAAGAGUAAGGAAGUUGCGCAACAGAUUAUGGCUAUAAACUAAGGCUUGAAGCUGGUUGAAUCGCCGAUUGAGGGAGUUCAUCCGAGGUCCGGGUGCAGUUCCGGUUUGUCGAUUUUCUGUUGAUUGCAAAAAUCAAAUCCGAAUCUCUUUAGUAAAACCUUUUAAGGGUUUCAAUGAAAGAUUCCGAAUGGAUUCUUGUAAAAGAACCAACCAACGGAGAUAUAUGAAAUCCAUACUUUAACAAUGCUGGAGAAAGUUUGUUGUCUCUUGAGAUAAGGUUCCAUGACUCACCUAAGCAUUGGACGAUAUUCUUCCGAUUGGUAAUGGGCGUCUUUGGUGCUACGGUUUGGGGAUAUUCCUUUGAGAUUCUCUAUUUUAACUGUAAGCUUAUUUCCUUCCGGCUUUCUUACAUGUAUCUUUAAUCUAUUAAAUAUGAUUAUUUGUGAUA
This is a non-coding RNA of Nicotiana tabacum (common tobacco), 1033 nucleotides long. The record is from RefSeq and is a predicted model, not a curated record. NCBI's taxonomy places the organism in Eukaryota, Viridiplantae, Streptophyta, Magnoliopsida, Solanales, Solanaceae.